RNAcentral lists this ribosomal RNA (324 nucleotides) under uncultured eukaryote. RNAcentral's name for it is "partial 18S ribosomal RNA". It matches the Rfam family "Eukaryotic small subunit ribosomal RNA", at positions 1470 to 1796 of the family's 1831-position model. The record is from RNAcentral.
CCCUUAGAUGUUCUGGGCCGCACGCGCGCUACACUGAUGCAUUCAACGAGUUUCUUCCCGGUCCGAGAGGAAUGGGUAACCUUUUGAAAGUGCAUCGUGAUAGGGAUAGACUAUUGCAAUUAUUGGUCUUCAACGAGGAAUUCCUAGUAGACGUAGUUCAUCAGACUGCAUCGAUUACGUCCCUGCCCUUUGUACACACCGCCCGUCGCUCCUACCGAUUGAAUGCUCAGGUGAGCCAUUUGGACUUUCAUCACGCUGGUUUCCAGUUUUGAUGAAGGAAAGUCUUGCGAACCUUAUCAUUUAGAGGAAGGAGAAGUCGUAACA